Molecule: non-coding RNA, 517 nt
Organism: Sinocyclocheilus anshuiensis
Lineage: Eukaryota; Metazoa; Chordata; Actinopteri; Cypriniformes; Cyprinidae
Source: the annotation of a RefSeq genome assembly
AUGGCUGCACAAAACACAAUCUUCAUCAUCACACAAGACACAACAACAACAAUGAACAACAUCAUCAUGCUCAUCUGCACUCUCUGUAUAUGUAUACAAGGUUUCAGGGGACAAGUGACUGUGACUCAGACUCCCUCUGUAAAAAUGAUUCAGAUUGAUGAAUCAGUCACUAUAAACUGUAAAACAAACACAGUAGUGCAUAAUGGCUGUUCAGACGGUCACUGUAAGAACUGUUUCUCCUGGUACCUGCAGAAACCUGGAGAAUCUCCUAAACUUUUAGUGUACUUCAUUAAAAUCCUCCAGUCAGGAACUCCAUCUAGAUUCAGUGGAAAUGGAGCUGAUCAUGGAACUGAUUUCACUCUGACCCUCAGUGGAGUCCAGACUGAAGAUACAGGAGAUUAUUACUGUCAGAGUGUACACUAUAUCAGUGAUAGCUGGGUGUUCACACAGUGUUAAAGAGUCGUACAAAAACCUCCGUCAGUCAGAGUCACAGUGACUGCACUGAUACAGCUGAGAG